ACAAUGGGCGCAAGCCUGAUCCAGCAAUGCCGCGUGUGUGAAGAAGGCCUGAGGGUUGUAAAGCACUUUCAAUUGUGAAGAAGUUAUCGUAGUUAAUACCUGCGGUGAUUGACAUUAGCUUUAGAAGAAGCACCGGCGAACUCUGUGCCAGCAGCCGCGGUAAUACAGAGGGUGCAAGCGUUAAUCGGAAUUACUGGGCGUAAAGCGCGCGUAGGCGGUUUGUUAAGUUGGAUGUGAAAUCCCAGGGCUCAACCUUGGAACUGCAUCCAAAACUGGCAAGCUAGAGUUUGGUAGAGGAGAGUGGAAUUCCCUGUGUAGCAGUGAAAUGCGUAGAUAUAGGGAGGAACAUCAGUGGCGAAGGCGACUCUCUGGACCAAAACUGACGCUGAGGUGCGAAAGCGUGGGUAGCGAACGGGAUUAGAUACCCCGGUAGUCCACGCCGUAAACGAUGAGAACUAGCUGUUGGGACUGUUGUGGUCUUGGUAGCGUAGCUAACGCGUUAAGUUCUCCGCCUGGGGAGUACGGUCGCAAGAUUAAAACUCAAAGGAAUUGACGGGGACCCGCACAAGCGGUGGAGCAUGUGGUUUAAUUCGAUGCAACGCGAAGAACCUUACCAUCCCUUGACAUCCUGUGAACUGAGUAGAGAUAUUCAGGUGCCUUCGGGAGCACAGUGACAGGUGCUGCAUGGCUGUCGUCAGCUCGUGUCNUGAGAUGUUGGGGUUAAGUNCCGCAACGAGCGCAAC
This 743-nucleotide ribosomal RNA is filed under the name uncultured Gammaproteobacteria bacterium. RNAcentral's name for it is "bacterial SSU rRNA". It matches the Rfam family "Bacterial small subunit ribosomal RNA", at positions 368 to 1102 of the family's 1533-position model. Lineage: Bacteria; Pseudomonadati; Pseudomonadota; Gammaproteobacteria. The record is from RNAcentral.